Non-coding RNA from Camellia sinensis, 1685 nucleotides. Lineage: Eukaryota; Viridiplantae; Streptophyta; Magnoliopsida; Ericales; Theaceae. The record is from RefSeq and is a predicted model, not a curated record.
AACUGGUUGGUAUCACUAGACAGAAAAGACUAGUCACUCAUUUGUGAAAACUGCCACCUGAAAUUUCUAGUAGGCUCUGCACUCCAUGCUUUCCAAUUUGAAUGUUUGACUUAAUAUUAAGAUCAAACGCUUUAUUAAAAACAUUUGAAGCGCCCUCCUAUUAUACUCAUAAAUAGAGCCUUUAAACACACAUAGCACCGAGUGUUUUUGUCUCUCAGGAAUCUGCACAGCACAGCCUUAACGCUCACGUCGCCGGUUUCUCUUCUAUCUCUGAGAAGGGUGCUCUGGAAAAUGCAAACCCUAUCCAUUUCUCACCGUUUGUCUCCCUCAACCCACUGGCUGUUUCCGUCGCCGGUCACCGCCAUUCCCUGCAGAACCCCCAGCUCUCUUCCUUGCCUCCGUACUCUGCAGUGCUGCUUUCUCCAAUCUCCAUCUCUGGGUCCUUCUUACUCUCUCUCUCUCUCUCUCUCUCUCUCUUUCUCUCUCUCUCUAUAUAUAUAUAUAUUCCCAUUAUGCAAUCCCACUACAGACCCCCAGUGACAUGGCCAUGCGGUGGCAGCUGAUGUGUAAACAUAGCUGGAAAAAAAAAAAAAUUUGAAAAAGCGGGAACCAAACCUGUGGGUCGUCCAUCCUCACCUCUCGCCGCCAACCUCGUCUAUCCUAGUCUGUCUUCCCUCGCCUAUCCUCACCUCUCGCCGCCAUCCUCCUCCUCCACCAUAGCUCGCCGGGAAUUUCUGCAAAAGUGUAUUCUGGACAACGGCCAUAGAUUUGAGCAAUAUCAGAUUACUCGCUCUCAUCUAUCCUCAGAUUAUAGAGGUCGUCACAGGUGGCCCAUGGUUUUGAGCAAAAGUUUUGAGCAAUAUUAGUUUUGAGCAAUAUCAGAUUACACUUUUGAAUGGUAAUAUCUCCAUAGCUCGCUCUCAUCUAUCCUCGAUCUUCGUCGCUCUCAUCAAUCUGUUGUCCUCUGUCCAUCAAUCUGGUUUUGCUCUGUCCGGUUUUGCUCUGCUCUGUCUCUGUCCAUCAAUCUGGUUUAUGAGUUAUGGAUGAGACAAAGUUUUUCGAGGUUUCAAGAAAGGGAAACUUAAUUCCGCUUCGCAAAUGCAUUUUAUUGGAUCACUUAACUCCGGUGCUUGCUUAUAGAUGAUUGGUUAAAGAAGAUGCCCAAGAAACUCCGAGCUUUCUGUUUGAAUCGGUGGAGCCUGGUUCUUCGUGCUUCAACUGUUGGUGGUUAUAGCGUGGUUGGAGCUCAGCCAGCCAUGGAAAUUGUGGCAAAAGAAAAUAAGGUUACAAUUUUGGACCACGAGAAAGGGUGAAUAACCAAGAAGGUUGUUGAUGAUCCAAUGGCGGUUCCAAGAAGUAUUCCAAGAAAUAUUUCCAACUCUCUGAAAAGCCACUUACAACGGUUGAAGCACGAAGAACCAGGCUCCACCGAUUCAAACAGAAAGCUCGGAGUUUCUUGGCAUCUUCUUUAACCAAGCAUCUGUAAGCAAGCACCGGAGUCAAGUGAUUCGAUAAAAUGCAUUUGCGAAGCGGAAUUAAGUUUUCCUUUCUUGAAGCCUCGAAAAACUGUGUCUCAUCCAUAACUGAAGAAAACCCAACCACAACAUUAAAUUCAACUGUAAUUGAGACCCAAUUCAGGAAUGCAAAGAAAUCAAAAUUCAUAUCUUUACACAACAUUUUUCUUA